RNAcentral lists this small RNA (4768 nucleotides) under Pongo abelii (Sumatran orangutan). Its description in RNAcentral is "retained intron". The record is from RNAcentral. Lineage: Eukaryota; Metazoa; Chordata; Mammalia; Primates; Hominidae.
AGAACACAGAGCAGCCUGGCAGUGUCCAAGCAACAAGCCUCGGCCCCUCCUUCCUGCACCCUGGGGCUCCUGAAACUCACCUGGGAAGGAGGGCUUUCUGAGAUUUGAGGGAAACAAGCUCUCAGGACUUCCGGUCGCCAUGAUGGCUGUGGGCGGUAAACGGGGUUAGUGCAAGCAUCUGGGCCAUCUUCAAUGGUAAAAAAGAUACAGUAAAGACAUAAAUACCACGUUUGACAAAUGGAAAAAAAGGAGUGUCCAGAAAAGAGUAGCAGCAGUGAGAAAGAGCUGCCGAGACGGGACAGUGGAUCCAGUAGGAAUGUAGAUGCAUCCGAACUCAUAAUACUACAAGGACCACGGAAACUGUUGGUUGACAAUAGCUUACAGGAACUGCAAUACCCAAAAACUGGAAUUUUUAUUCAGGCUGAGGCCUGUGUGACAGAUGAUACGGUAUACAGGGAGCUACCCCGUGUUUCUGAGAUCCGUUAUGACAUCUCACAUUUUUUCCAAGAAGAUGAUGAGACAGAGGCAGAGCCAUUCUUGUUCCAUGCUGUUCCUGAGAGUCAACUAUGUGGGUGGGACAUUCCCAGGUAAGAAAAGCUAUUCUGUUGGAAAACUAUUGGGCGCUGUGUCUCAAUAUCACAGAGGAACAUGAGAAUUAGAGGAAUUUGGGUGUUUUUCAUCGAACUCAGGGGAGAAUGAAUGAGCUUAUGCAAUAUUAGCAAUGAAUCCAGAAAUUUUUGAAACAAACCUUAAGCAAUGACGUUUUUUUCCUUGGAGGUGUCUAGAGAACCUAUACACAAAAAGGCAAUGAGCAAUGCAAUCGAAGACCAGUGGGUUAUUGGUUAAGCUGUUACUCAAUGCAUAAAACCAACCUAAUUCUCUAGGAAACUGGCUGAUGAUGAGGCUGAAGGCCGCAGUGGGGUCCUGAGGUUUAACACCAGGGAGGGGAGAAUGCAUCUAUUUGUAGGGUAUGCCAAUUUCCAAGGGUUGAAUAUCCCCAUCAUGGCAGAUUUCAAACUACCAACGUGAAGCCCCUGAUGAGGGAGUUGAAAGAACACAUGCAGAAGUCUGUCAUCCUACUUUCACCACACAGGUACAAGAGACAUAAAUAACCUCAAGGGCAUAGACUGCUGAAAAGUGUAGAAAAAUGACUGGAAAUUGGUAUGUUUUAAUAUGUAUUACUUUUGUUUUUAAUAUGAUUUAUUUAAAUGUUAGCUUGUAUCAUUUAGACUAAUGGUUGUGUUGAACAACUUGGUUGCAAAAGCCCUGAAACUGGAACCGUCGGCUCUCAUGAUCUGGGAUGCGCUGUCUGCAGUUCAGCGCUGGGUUCCUCCCACUUUCUAAACCCCUCCUCAGCAGGCAGACUCCAGCAUGCACAUGCUCCAGGAGACAGAAUAUAAAAUGGCAUGUUUACUGUUGCUGCUUUGCCUGUAGCUACCCGAAUCCAUAGCAAAAUGUGUAGCCGCAGACAGCAACCAGUCUUAGGAUGUCAGCCCAGGGGUCUCUCCAUGCUUGGCUUGCCCACAGAAUCCUUCUGAGAAAAGCGCUGUAAAGCCUUUCUCUUUAUCCCGCUUCUCUAGGUACCUGUUCUUUUUAAACCUAAUCCACGUGUCAGUUUCUCUGCUGGUCUCUUUCACGUUGAAAUAAACAGACAUCUCAAGGAAUGGAUCAAAGGCAGAGAAUUUGAUGGAGUUGGUUGCCUUCCUCCAGAAGGUAUCACCUGUGUUAGGGCAGAUUUCUCUCCAGAGGCAUGACGAACCAUUGGCUCACGCUGUAUGUCAUAGAACCCAUAUUGGCUAAUAUUGGAAUCACCUGUGAGGCUUUGAAAGCACCGAUGCUUCGGUGCCAUCUCCAGACUUCUGAUUCAAUUGAUGUGGGCUGUGACCUGGUAUUGGGUGGUUUUUAAAGCUUCCCAGGUGUGGUCAAGUUUGGAAUUACCUUGGAAUAUAGAUGCAUGCAUUUUACGCAUUGGUGAAUUACUGCUUCAGUCUUUGAUUCCAACAUUGUAUGAUACCAAUAGGAGCAUCAAUUUAAGCCAGAGAAUCUGGCUGUGUCCACAUUGAACGUGGUCAUAAUAAAAAGAGAAGAGGGAGAGAUGUCAAGACACAUUUGGCUCAAGGGAGCAUGUUAUCUCUAUUAUUUAUAAAUGUGGAUAAAAAUAUCUUCAUUCAAAAUGUCUUGUAUUUCUUGAUAGUCUAGAUCCGCCCAGUCUAAGAGAACUUUCUGUGAUGACGGGAGUGUUCCAUUCUCUGCUACACAGUGUUAUAGCCGUGAGUGACAUGUAGGUGUUGAGCACUUGAAAUAUGGAUAGUGCAACUGAGAAACUCAAGUUUACCUAAGUUUAAUUCAUACAAAUUUAAAUAGCACAUCCGGGUAGCAGCUACUCUACGGAACAGUGCAGCUCUAGUUUUCAAUAACAUCGUCUUCAUCUUCAUCAACUGAUUCGUGAUAUUUUUCAUCUUUUUGUAACAUGGGGAUCCCAACCUCCAGCGUAUCAGAAGAGCAGGAAUCUUCAGAGGGACAAGAUUCAGGAGACAUUUGCUCAGAAGAGAAUCAAAUAGUUUCCUCUUAUGCUUCUAAAGUCUGUUUUGAGAUUGAACAAGAUUAUAAAAAUCGUCAGUUUCUGGGGCCUGAAGGAAAUGUGGAUGUUGAGUUGAUUGAUAAGAGCACAAACACAUACAGCGUUCGGUUCCCCACUGCUGGCUGGUAUCUGUGGCCAGCCACAGGCCUCGGCUUCCUGGUAAGGGAUGCGGUCACGUUGACGAUUGCAUUUGGUUCCUGGAGUCAGCACCUGGCCCUGGACCUGCAGCACCAUGAACAGUGGCUGGUGGGCGGCCCCUUGUUUGAUGUCACUGCAGUGCCAGAGGAGGCUGUCUCUGAAAUCCACCUCCCCCACUUCAUCUCCCUCCAAGGUAAUGUGGGGUGAGCGGAGGCUGUGGGGGCCGCUGGGGCGCGUGCUGUCUCACUGCUGUUGUGGUUCUCCUGCAGCAGGUGAGGUGGAUGUCUCCUGGUUCCUCAUUGCCCAUUUUAAGGAUGAAGGGAUGGUCCUGGAGCAUCCAGCCCGGGUGGAGCCUUUCUAUGCUGUCCUGGAAAAGCCCAGCUUCUCUCUGAUGGGCAUCCUGCUGCGGAUCGCCAGCGGGACCUGCCUCUCCAUCCCCAUCACUUCCAACACGUUGAUCUAUUAUCACCCCCACCCCGAAGAUAUUAAGUUCCACUUGUACCUUGUCCCCAGCGACGCCUUGCUAACGAAGGCGAUAGAUGAUGAGGAAGAUCGCUUCCAUGGUGUGCGCCUGCAGACUUCGCCCCCAAUGGAACCCCUGAACUUUGGUUCCAGUUAUAUUGUGUCUAAUUCUGCUAACCUGAAAGUAAUGCCCAAGGAGUUGAAAUUGUCCUACAGGAGCCCUGGAGAAAUUCAGCACUUCUCAAAAUUCUAUGCUGGGCAGAUGAAGGAACCCAUUCAACUUGAAAUUACUGAAAAAAGACAUGGGACUUUGGUGUGGGAUACUGAGGUGAAGCCAGUGGAUCUCCAGCUUGCAGCUGCAUCAGCCCCUCCUCCUUUCUCAGGUGCAGCCUUUGUGAAGGAGAACCACCGGCAACUCCAAGUCAGGAUGGGGGACCUGAAAGGGGUGCUCGAUGAUCUCCAAGACAAUGAGGUUCUCACUGAGAAUGAGAAGGAGCUGGUGGAACAGGAAAAGACACGGCAGAGCAAGAAUGAGGCCUUGCUGAGCAUGGUGGAGAAGAAAGGGGACCUGGCUCUGGACGUGCUCUUCAGAAGCAUUAGUGAAAGGGACCCUUACCUCGUGUCCUAUCUUAGACAGCAGAAUUUGUAAAAUGAGUCAGUUAGAUAGUCUGGAAGAGAGAAUCCAGCCUUCUCAUUGGAAAUGGAUAAACAGAAAUGUGAUCAUUGAUUUCAGUGUUCAAGACAGAAGAAGACUGGGUAAGAUUUAUCACACAGGCUUUCAGGACAGACUUGUAACCUGGCAUGUACCUAUUGACUGUAUCCUCAUGCAUUUACCUCAAGAAUGUCUGAAGAAGGUAGUAAUAUUCCUUUUAAAUUUUUUCCAACCAUGGCUUGAUAUAUCACUAUUUUAUCCAUUGACAUGUUUCUUGAAGACCCAGGAUAAAGGACAUCCAGAUAGGUGUGUUUAUGAAUGAUAGGGCCUGGAAAGGCAACUUUUCCUGAUUAAUGUGAAAAAUAAUUCCUAGGGACACUCCAUUUGAAGUAUCACCUUCUCAUAACUAAAAGCAGAAAAGCUAACAAAAGCUUCUUAGCUGAGGACACUCAAGGCAUACAUGAUGAUAGUCUUUUUUUUUUUUUUAUAUGUUAGGACUUUAACACUUUAUCUAUGGCUACUAUUAUUAGAAUAAUGUAAAUGUAUUUGCUGAAAGAGAGCACAAAAAUGGGAGAAAAUGCAAACAUGAGCAGAAAAUAUUUUCCCACUGGUGUGUAGCCUGGUACAAGGAGUUGUUGGGUUAAAUGUUCAUGGUCAACUCCAAGGAAUACUGAGAUGAAAUGUGGUAAAUCAACUCCACAGAACCACCAAAAAGAAAAUGAGGGUAAUUCAGCUUAUUCUGAGACAGACAUUCCUGGCAAUGUACCAUAUAAAAAAUAAGCCAACUCUGACAUUUGGAUUCUACCAUAGACUCUGUCAUUUUGUAGCCAUUUCAGCUGCCUGAAAUGGCUACAAAAACAUGAUUAAUGUUUUCAUGGCACACAUAUUUCCAUCCUUUUAUGUUUAAUCUGUUUAAAACAAGUUCCUAGUAGACA